Molecule: ribosomal RNA, 467 nt
Filed under: uncultured bacterium
Lineage: Bacteria
Description: partial 16S ribosomal RNA
Rfam family: Bacterial small subunit ribosomal RNA
Source: RNAcentral
GACGAACGCUGGCGGCGUGCUUAACACAUGCAAGUCGAACGGAAAGGCCCUGCUUUUGUGGGGUGCUCGAGUGGCGAACGGGUGAGUAACACGUGAGUAACCUGCCCUUGACUUUGGGAUAACUUCAGGAAACUGGGGCUAAUACCGGAUAGGAGCUCCUGCUGCAUGGUGGGGGUUGGAAAGUUUCGGCGGUUGGGGAUGGACUCGCGGCUUAUCAGCUUGUUGGUGGGGUAGUGGCUUACCAAGGCUUUGACGGGUAGCCGGCCUGAGAGGGUGAUCGGCCACAUUGGGACUGAGUAACGGCCCAGACUCCUACGGGAGGCAGCAGUGGGGAAUAUUGCACAAUGGGCGGAAGCCUGAUGCAGCAACGCCGCGUGCGGGAGGACGGCCUUCGGGUUGUAAACUGCUUUCGCCUGUGACGAAGCGUGAGGGACGGUAAUGGGUAAAGAAGCACCGGCGAAUUACGG